GGAAAAUCCUAAAAACUGAGAUUACAGAGACUCAGUGUGGGUGUCUGUUCGUUACCUGAAACAGCUACUUUUCCCGGUCUUCACGGAUGCCUGGUGCAGGACGAGACCCCGAGGAGGUGCCACCGAGACUGCGGAGCCCCUGUGCGCGCUGUGCUGAGAGCCCGUGUUCUUCCCUCUCGGCAGCCCUCGGGUGUCUGGGGUGCCCGGGUCCUGGCUGCACAGCCGAGCAUACGAGAAGACAGGCCCUUGGGCGGCUGCACGGAGAGCUGGGUAGUUCGAUGAGUGACCGACCUCUCUGUCCUCCUCGGGGGACGCCGGAAGCUGGUCCUUACGGCCGUCACCGCCCGCGGAGCUGCAGGGACGAGCCACGCUGGUGCCUGUGCCGAUCUCCACUGAAACUCUCGAAGACGUCCCCUGCCUUUUGCCAAAGCAGGACCCUGCCCUGCCCCCAGCGCCACCCAGCCUGGUGAUGCAGUCAGCGCCUUCUGCUCUUCAGUCCCCAUAUCUGUAGCAAGCUGUAAGUAACCUGUUCACUGGCAUGUUGUCUACUUGUUUGCAAGAACGCGGGAGCCUGAGGCCCGGGACUGCGUUCCUCUUGUGUCUCCAGUUCUCGGCACGUGCCUGGCACACGCUGUGCGUCCAGUAAAUACUUUCUGACUGACUAAUUCCUAAAGGUCUGUAUCAAAUGCUAGCUCCUUGUCCGCGGUGUCUUCUCCUCCCAAGCAGCGGGAACGUCUCCUUUGUCUGCAGUCCCGUAGCUCUCUCUCUGUUCUCCGUUACAGCUCUCGCCUUUGCCUCUUAGCACUGUUUGCAGGGGUGGUUGCAUCCUCCCAGUUCCUCAGGUUCCUGUUGUGGUGUCUUAGUGAUCUUCUUAUACUCCCGUUGUGUCUGGCGCAGAAUAGGUGCUCAAUGAAUGCUGAUUGAAUUGAUUUGAAUAAUUGAAAGAACUUUCAAUAGAAAAGGCAACUAAAAAAAAUGUUAGAGAGGUUUAUUUAAAAACGAAACCACGGUAAGCGCUGGACUCCUUGCCAACAAUGGUCACAUUUCCUGGCUGUCCUAGAGGUCUUGGAGAGCAGCCUAAACACCAAUCUCCACUGGUCCGAAUCGGCCCCAUUAAACGCUCCCCGGGCCUGUGAGACGGUGGAUCGGGAGCCAAUCUGGACGGCUGGGAUUUCCCUCCUCCAGGCCCUCCCGGCCCCAGGAACGGCCUGGCCGUGGAGGCUUUCAAGGAGGAGACUCCGCCGUGGCCGUGAGGGCUGGCCGGUGCUGAUCCUUCCCGACCUUUCAGAAGUUUCUUCCAACUGAGGAGGAAGCCUGGGGGAGGAGGAAUGCAUAGGCGGGACUGCAGCGAAGACUUAGGGCGAAAGGAAGGUCUCUGUCCCAGCCGGGACACUGGCCGGGAGCGACCUUACCACGCUGAGCUCCUUUCAUUGUAUCUGUGACACAGUACACAUCUCAGAGCGUUGCUGC
RNAcentral lists this long non-coding RNA (1470 nucleotides) under Bos indicus x Bos taurus (hybrid cattle). RNAcentral's name for it is "lncRNA (ENSBIXG00000022762.1)". Lineage: Eukaryota; Metazoa; Chordata; Mammalia; Artiodactyla; Bovidae. The record is from RNAcentral.